ACUCCUCCCAAGGGGUGAGUGCAGGAAGACACCAGGAGGGAGGCGGAGCCUCUGGAGAUCUUUCUGGAACCCAAACCACCCUAACUGGAGCCAGAAGGUCUGUCAAUUCCCAGAGAGCAGCAAGGAAAUGGUAAGUAAAUGGCAGCAGUUGCCUAGAGAAUUAGGGAAUGAAUAACAAUGCUUUCUGGUAAAUUAACCAUAUUACAUUGUGCACAGCAAAGUGAUGGAAGAACCCAGUUAAAAAUUGAAUAAUAAUUUUCCCACAUCAUUUAUGUAAAAUGCAUAAUUUUCCUACUUCAGUGGACUUUGGUUUGAUUUAAAAUAUGAACCGCUCUAGUACUGUUCACCAAAGCAUAAUUUGUGAGAUAAUUGGGAAGGGGAGGAGAAAUCAGGCUGUAAUCAGCACAAUCCUGUGUGAGCCACUUCACCUCCCUCCCGUCCCCUGCAAAUUUCGGAAAUUGUUUGUCGAUAGGUUGAAGGUCUCUAUGUGAAAGUGUGAGGCAUCAAUCAUUGUCGUUGCUAUCACUAAACCAUGACCUCACCGUGUGCAAGAGGGGAAAGCAAGGCUUCCCUCUAGUCAGUCUUUUUCUGCUCUAAUUCAAAUAAGUACUUGUUUUUGAAUAGUAGGGAAAAUGGAAAUGUUGCCAUGCUUAAAACAGCAAGCCGAGAACAAAAGAAACGUGCAAGCAGCGGAAGGAGACCUUGGAAGAUGCGUAGAUAGAACAAAAAACUGCGCUUGGCCAGGAUUCUGUUUCAGAAUCAAAUGCAAAAUGAAGAACGUUGUUCCAACUAUAACGAUUUUGCCACCUACGAUCUCUGAAAUGAAAAGUCGUCAUGGAAUCCACGUUGACAUUCAAAAGCUGUGCUCUUGCGAUGAGUGAUGGUGUUUGUCCGUGACUGAUGUAGGCUUCAGAACCAGAGCUGUCGGCGGUGGGGUGGAAUUCCACAGGUGAACCAGCCACCCUUCACUUCGACGCUGCCCUCCCGGCUAGAAAUUGCCUUUUUGCAAAUUGGAAAAAGCUAUCCUACCUCAAGACACUUUGCUGCCAUCAGCCAGAAAAUUAUUGUAAUAGAUAUGCCAAGAGAUGAUGUGAAUGGUGCCCCCUAGAAUUGUGCAGUACACAACUGGCACCGCGGUAUGAGACAACGCUGUAGUUGGAAACCACCUGAGUUACCUUGGAAGUCUGUAAAACUCAGAGCCACGGUAGGUCAGUCUUGCCUUUUUAUGACAGUUUGCAAUUUCAAAAUCUAAACCUUUC
This 1259-nucleotide long non-coding RNA is filed under the name Equus asinus (donkey). RNAcentral's name for it is "lncRNA (ENSEASG00005032602.1)". The record is from RNAcentral. Lineage: Eukaryota; Metazoa; Chordata; Mammalia; Perissodactyla; Equidae.